AGUGAACGCUGGCGGUAGGCCUAACACAUGCAAGUCGAACGGCAGCACAGUAAGAGCUUGCUCUUACGGGUGGCCGGUGGCGGACGGGUGAGGAAUGCAUCGGAAUCUACUUUUUCGUGGGGGAUAACGUAGGGAAACUUACGCUACUACCGCAUACGACCUACGGGUGAAAGCAGGGGAUCGUCGGACCUUGCGCGAUUGAAUGAGCCGAUGUCGGAUUAGCUAGUUGGCGGGGUAAAGGCCCACCAAGGCGACGAUCCGUAGCUGGUCUGAGAGGACGAUCAGCCACACUGGGACUGAGACACGGUCCAGACUCCUACGGGAGGCAGCAGUGGGGAAUAUUGGACAAUGGGCGCAAGCCUGAUCCAGCCAUACCGCGUGGGUGAAGAAGGCCUUCGGGUUGUAAAGCCCUUUUGUUGGGAAAGAAAAGCAGCAGGCUAAUACCGCGCUGUUAUGACGGUACCCAAAGAAUAAGCACCGGCUAACUUCGUG
RNAcentral lists this ribosomal RNA (492 nucleotides) under uncultured bacterium. RNAcentral describes it as "partial 16S ribosomal RNA". It matches the Rfam family "Bacterial small subunit ribosomal RNA", at positions 29 to 507 of the family's 1533-position model. The record is from RNAcentral.